RNAcentral lists this ribosomal RNA (497 nucleotides) under uncultured bacterium. RNAcentral's name for it is "partial 16S ribosomal RNA". It matches the Rfam family "Bacterial small subunit ribosomal RNA", at positions 28 to 507 of the family's 1533-position model. The record is from RNAcentral.
GAUGAACGCUGGCGGCGUGCCUAAUACAUGCAAGUCGAGCGAACAGACGAGAAGCUUGCUUCUCUGACGUUAGCGGCGGACGGGUGAGUAACACGUGGAUAACCUACCUAUAAGACUGGGAUAACUUCGGGAAACCGGAGCUAAUACCGGAUAAUAUAUUGAACCGCAUGGUUCAAUAGUGAAAGACGGUUUUGCUGUCACUUAUAGAUGGAUCCGCGCUGCAUUAGCUAGUUGGUAAGGUAACGGCUUACCAAGGCAACGAUGCGUAGCCGACCUGAGAGGGUGAUCGGCCACACUGGAACUGAGACACGGUCCAGACUCCUACGGGAGGCAGCAGUAGGGAAUCUUCCGCAAUGGGCGAAAGCCUGACGGAGCAACGCCGCGUGAGUGAUGAAGGUCUUCGGAUCGUAAAACUCUGUUAUUAGGGAAGAACAAAUGUGUAAGUAACUGUGCACGUCUUGACGGUACCUAAUCAGAAAGCCACGGCUAACUACGUG